Molecule: long non-coding RNA, 1663 nt
Organism: Nicotiana tabacum (common tobacco)
Lineage: Eukaryota; Viridiplantae; Streptophyta; Magnoliopsida; Solanales; Solanaceae
Source: RefSeq, a predicted model, not a curated record
CAGAAAUAAAGUGCUCAGAUUUUUCAUAAUUUUUCGAAAAUAGUUUCACUUCUCAAGUAUACCAAUAAAAGCUCAAAUCCUCUACCGAAGUCAAAGCGAACACAAUUUUGAGCUUCUUCAUCGUUGAGCUUCUUUGAGCUUCUUCAUGCUUGUUUAAAGCAGCCAUAGCAACGUUGACCUCUCCCCAGCCUUUGGCUGUGGGAGAGCAAAAUUUUCAAGCAGAUAGGAUCAACAAUCCCCCUAAAUUGACUUAUGCAGCAAGUGUUUCAAAAGAAAUUGUGCGACAAAACCAAAAUAUAGUGCUAUGUCCAGUCAGAUUUGAACACGGAGAACCAUUUAUUGAAUUCACCACAGAUGAGGUGAAAGAAUUCGUCAUAGAGGAAGGUUUACACCAAGCAGUCAUCAUCAAGUUUUCUUAUGGAAAACUAGAACUUCACGAUCUCAGAAGAACUUUUUCAAAUCAGUUCGAUGUGAAAGGAUCUUGUAACAUCGGGCAGCUGGAGUUUAGACACAUACUGGUUGUAAGCACCAAGGACAUGAUGAAAAUUCAUGUCGAUCGAUGAAAGGGAGAAAUAAAUAUGCAGAGGAAAAAUCAGAGGAAACACAUCGAACUGAUUUGGACCAAAUUUCUACAGAAAAGCUUCAGGGAGAUGCAAGGCAAUUGUUGAAUGCAAUAAGAGAUGCCAACCACGUGAAAGAGAGUGACAAUGUCACUCAGACACAGGGCAUGGGCAGUGACACUGCUCCUAUUCAGAAUACGUUGAAGGGCAAGGCUAAUGCUACAGGAACUAGUAUGAUCCUCACAGGUCAAAAGCAAAACUGUGCAUGAUGAAGCAUGUCAAUAAUGAGAAUGUUGUUCAAAGCAAAACUGGGCAUGAGAUAAUUACAUUGAAUAAUGUAACUCAUCAGAAUCAGAAGACUAAUAUUUUGGCACAGGUGGAGAUCGAAGAUGAUCAGACAAACAAGUUUCAAACUAUAAACAGAUUUGCAGUUCUAGAAAUGGAACAAUGUGAUGCAAAUGAAGGAAAUCAUAUGAUGGGGAAAGGAGGAACAUAUGCUCUAAAUAACAUAGCUAAUAUGGAGCCAAAUGGGAAGGUAAUUGUAGCAGCAGAUGUUACCAAUACAAUAACAACUCUUACUGUCAGACACACGGAUUAUCAAAAGUGACGAAGCAGUUAAAUCCAAAUGCUACUGCUUUUAAGCUUAUUGAUAAAGAGAAUUUAAACCAAUCACAGUCACAACAAGAACCUACUGCACAAUGGGCUAAUAAGGUUUUUGGAAGCAAGUUAGUUACCACUAAUCAAUCGUGUCAAGAUAUCCCAUCUCAGUCAAUGGAUACAUAUGGUAUAUCUGAACAUGUGAAUGAGAAAGAUAGAUUAGCUUUGACUAGCGGCAAACUAUGGGAGGAUCAAGCAGAAGAAGACUCCGAAGAAGUUCAAAUUGAAGAACUCACAAGUUUGAUAAAUGAGGGGCAAGAUUCUAAUUUCUACAUUGUCUUAGUUUAUCAUUUUCAAAGCAUCAUCACUUGUAAUAGCGUCAUAGAGUGUGUUAUAAACUCUAUGGCGAUCAUAGAGUACUUGGUACUUUCAAGUUCCUAUUUUUUACAUGCUUGCUAGAAGAUGAGGCUUUAUCUUUGCCUCAAUAGGAUUGGUAAGGUAAGGUU